UUCUGCUCAAUGAUAUUUUAAAUAGCCGCAGUACCCUGACUGUGCAAAGGUAGCAUAAUCAUUUGGCUUAUAAUUGAAGUCUAGAAUGAAUGAAUAAAUGGGUAAAAACUGUCUUUCCAUAAAAGUAAGAACUUACUAAAAGAGUGAAAAUUCUCUUUAAAACUUGACAGACGAGAAGACCCUAGAAAUUUUUUUAAAACUGGUAAAAUUAUUAAUUUUGUUGGGGCGACAGAGUAACAGAUAACUUACUUUAAACAUAAGAAUUUGUUUUUAUGGAAAAUAAAAUUACUCUAGGGAUAACAGCAUAAUUUUGUAAAGUUUGUGACCUCGAUGUUGGACUAGGAAAUUUGUUAUUCAGAAGAUAACAUGUAAUGCUCUGUUCGAGCAGCACCUCCUACGUGAUCUGAGUUCAGACCGGA
This 419-nucleotide ribosomal RNA is filed under the name Bocourtia polymorpha. RNAcentral describes it as "partial 16S ribosomal RNA". It matches the Rfam family "Archaeal large subunit ribosomal RNA", at positions 1949 to 2689 of the family's 2987-position model. The record is from RNAcentral. Lineage: Eukaryota; Metazoa; Mollusca; Gastropoda; Stylommatophora; Bulimulidae.